Molecule: ribosomal RNA, 961 nt
Filed under: uncultured marine bacterium
Lineage: Bacteria
Description: bacterial SSU rRNA
Rfam family: Bacterial small subunit ribosomal RNA
Source: RNAcentral
AAGUCGAACGCAGUAGCAAUACUGAGUGGCAAACGGGUGAGUAUAAUGUGGGAAUCUGCCUUUUGGUUUGGAAUAACACGGGGAAACUUGUGCUAAUACCGAAUAAGCCCUUACGGGGAAAGUUUUAACGCCGAAAGAUGAGCCUGCACUUGAUUAGCUAGUUGGUAAGGUAAAAGCUUACCAAGGCAACGAUCAAUAGCUGUUCUUAGAGGAAGACCAGCCACAUUGGGACUGGGACACGGCCCAGACUCCUACGGGAGGCAGCAGUGGGGAAUCUUGCACAAUGGGGGAAACCCUGAUGCAGCGAUGCCGCGUGAGUGAAGAAGGCCUUUGGGUUGUAAAACUCUUUCGUCGGGGAAGAAAAUGACUGUACCCGAAUAAGAAGGUCCGGCUAACUUCGUGCCAGCAGCCGCGGUAAUACGAAGGGACCUAGCGUAGUUCGGAAUUACUGGGCUUAAAGAGCUCGUAGGUGGUUAAAAAAGUUGAUGGUGAAAUCCCAAGGCUCAACCUUGGAACUGCCAUCAAAACUUUUUAGCUAGAGUGUGAUAGAGGUAAGUGGAAUUUCUAGUGUAGAGGUGAAAUUCGUAGAUAUUAGAAAGAACACCAAAUGCGAAGGCAACUUACUGGGUCACUACUGACACUGAGGAGCGAAAGCAUGGGUAGCGAAGAGGAUUAGAUACCCUCGUAGUCCAUGCCGUAAACGAUGUGUGCUAGACGUUGGAAAUAUAUUUUUCAGUGUCGCAGCGAAAGCAUUAAGCACACCGCCUGGGGAGUACGACCGCAAGGUUAAAACUCAAAUGAAUUGACGGGGACCCGCACAAGCAGUGGAGCAUGUGGUUUAAUUCGAAGAUACGCGCAGAACCUUACCAACACUUGACAUGUUCAUCGCGAGACUAAGAGAUUAGUUUCUUCAGUUCGGCUGGACGAAACACAUGUGCUGCAUGACUGUCGUCAGCUCGUG